This 451-nucleotide ribosomal RNA is filed under the name uncultured bacterium. RNAcentral describes it as "partial 16S ribosomal RNA". It matches the Rfam family "Bacterial small subunit ribosomal RNA", at positions 28 to 507 of the family's 1533-position model. The record is from RNAcentral.
AGCGAACGCUGGCGGCAUGCCUAACACAUGCAAGUCGCACGGGGGGGCUUCGGCCUCCCAGUGGCGGACGGGUGAGGAACGCGUAGGGACCUGUCGAGGGGUGGGGGAUAACCGCGGGAAACUGCGGCUAAUACCGCAUGACGCCGCGGCGUGACAGCCGGGGCCAAAGGCGAAAGCCGCCCGCCGAGGGGCCUGCGUCCGAUUAGCUGGUUGGCGGGGUAGCGGCCCACCAAGGCGUCGAUCGGUAGCUGGUCUGAGAGAGUGAUCAGCCACACCGGGACUGAGACACAGCCCGGACUCCUACGGGAGGCAGCAGUGGGGAAUAUUGGACAAUGGGCGCAAGCCUGAUCCAGCAAUGCCGCGUGAGUGAAGAAGGUCUUCGGAUUGUAAAGCCCUUUCGGCGGGGACGAUGGUGACGGUACCCGCAGAAGAAGCCCCGGCUAACUUCGUG